This 497-nucleotide ribosomal RNA is filed under the name uncultured bacterium. RNAcentral's name for it is "partial 16S ribosomal RNA". It matches the Rfam family "Bacterial small subunit ribosomal RNA", at positions 28 to 507 of the family's 1533-position model. The record is from RNAcentral.
GAUGAACGCUGGCGGCGUGCCUAAUACAUGCAAGUCGAGCGAACGGACGAGAAGCUUGCUUCUCUGAUGUUAGCGGCGGACGGGUGAGUAACACGUGGAUAACCUACCUAUAAGACUGGGAUAACUUCGGGAAACCGGAGCUAAUACCGGAUGAUAUUUUGAACCGCAUGGUUCAAAAGUGAAAGACGGUCUUGCUGUCACUUAUAGAUGGAUCCGCGCUGCAUUAGCUAGUUGGUAAGGUAACGGCUUACCAAGGCAACGAUGCAUAGCCGACCUGAGAGGGUGAUCGGCCGCACUGGAACUGAGACACGGUCCAGACUCCUACGGGAGGCAGCAGUAGGGAAUCUUCCGCAAAGGGCGAAAGCCUGACGGAGCAACGCCGCGUGAGUGAUGAAGGUCUUCGGAUCGUAAAACUCUGUUAUUAGGGAAGAACAUAUGUGUAAGUAACUGUGCACAUCUUGACGGUACCUAAUCAGAAAGCCACGGCUAACUACGUG